This 159-nucleotide long non-coding RNA is filed under the name Monodelphis domestica (gray short-tailed opossum). Its description in RNAcentral is "lncRNA (ENSMODG00000038061.1)". The record is from RNAcentral. Lineage: Eukaryota; Metazoa; Chordata; Mammalia; Didelphimorphia; Didelphidae.
CCAUGAUUGCUUCUGCUCCACUUCAGUCCACAGCAGAGAAUCAUCCCUGAGGGCAAAAUCCAUCUGCUGAAGGAAACUACUCUAUUGCUCUCUCCAGAAGAAAACCUUGUCUUUGAUAUUGAAGUGUUAUGAAGGAAUGAAAAAAUCUGUAAAAUGACA